GCGACGACGGCGAAGAGGACGUAGACCCCGCUCGCUGGAACGUCCAGCUGCAGCAGCGGCGGCGAAGGCCCGACGCCCAUUCCGACAACGUCGUGAAAUUCAAGAACAAGGGCAAAAUUUGCCGACGUGGUUCCACCGUAAGAAACCACCGGCAGACACGGCCCGGACCAUCUAACGCAGGACAACCCGGCUACCCUCGCCACGUUCCAUCGCUCGAGCAUCAUGGGCCUCAUACUGCUGAUCCAUGGCCACCUUACGACUGCGCCACCACGACAGAACCCACAAAAUACCAACGUUACUGCAACAUGCCAUCACUACAAUUAAUCGCUCUAUCUACGAAUGUUUGGUCGCCGUAGAAUUGUACAUUAUCGUGGCUGAGCUUAUCAUGAUGCUGCACUUCGACAUGCUGCUGUCGAUCAGCAUACUGGACAUCCUCGGCUUCGGGACAGCUGGAGUCCGUUCCGGAACCGUGGCGUCGUGGCUCCAGUCUCUCCAUCAAGGAGGUGCCAUCACCAGGCGAGGAUGGUUCGCCAGCCUCCAGAGAUGGGGCAUGAACGGCGGCGUCCCGACGCAGUGCCAAAGAGCACUCAAAAUCGUCGGGUGUUGCCUGCUGCUUCUGGCACGUGAUCCCGUAUAGAGAAGCACGGCGUAACCUGGCAACCCAAGAAAGACACAGCUCAGCGUCUGCAGCUGCAGACAGGUGGAGCUGUCUUUGCCGGGUUAGCCACACACUGAUGAAUAAAAUUUCUCCAACACUCGACAUGGGCAUGCACUUCGGCAUGACUGUUGAAGAUCCGCAGGAGAGUAUGACGAACGUUGAGGAAGAAAGCGCCAUCGAGUGAGGAGAGUUCCUGAGGGAAAGUGAGUGAGAAGGGAUUGAUGGUGUUGCUCGCUGUCUCACGCAAAUGUCAUUCCCGGUUAAACCCACGCGCCAGCGUGUGGGAUUGUUGAACUCGGGUUGCUGUUAUCGUAAGGACAGCUAUCGAAUCUUUCUGUAGGCAGUCUUGGCCAAUAAUAAAUAAGCCAGUUCAUGUGCAAGUCACAAACGGGCCCCAUGAA
Molecule: non-coding RNA, 1059 nt
Organism: Dermacentor andersoni
Lineage: Eukaryota; Metazoa; Arthropoda; Arachnida; Ixodida; Ixodidae
Source: RefSeq, a predicted model, not a curated record